CACCCUCACUCAGGACACACGGACCAAGAGCAGGAAUGCUUAUGAUUGCACAAUGACCUGUCGAGGUAAAAGUGCGAUGCAAACCUAGGUCUGGUGACACCUAUCCGACCAAAACCCGAGAACUAGGACUUUCUCGAUUAAACAAAGAGGGUUUGUUUCCUUUGGCGGGGGGGUGGGGUAGGGGUGGAUGGGGGGGCGUCCAAGGGCUAGGUGUCCGAGCUUUGCAAUGAAAAACUGAUGCAUGAACCAGAUACCAAAUUACAAAUUUCACACUGCACAGUCUGAGUGUGAAAGGUCCUCCUUGAAUCCCCAGACAAGCUCCCAUCUUGUGAUCUGGACACCUUUUAUUGUCAGGGCACCUGGGACCACCUUAAGCCCCUUAGGUCACUGGAUAAUUUCCACUUUCAUGGGAGAAUUUUAAUCCAAGCCUAGAGAUGGAAAUUUUGCUCUGCUCCACCUUUAGAAAGAGCCUGUUAAAGCAGUCUUCUCUUUUAUAGCUCCUUAUUUGUUACUAACGGUUUCUCCACAAUUGCUAUUAUAGUUGAUCACCCAUUUGUUAUGUGUCCGGAUGUGCAUAUAGACUAUUGUUGAGCCUCAUUUUCAAACUAUCAUUUUAAUGUGGGAUAUUCCCUGGGGGAGAAUCCAGAGAGGGCAACAGUAGUAUUUAGGUUGAUUUUUGUUGGCAUCAUUUUCUAAAGAUGCAGAUCCCUGUGUACUGACCGCAUCCCAGAAACAGGAAACAAGACCACAUGUUUAGAAAAACACACAGAGGCCAAGGGAGAACACAUGUACUGGCAGGUUGGGGGAGGGGGGUGGAGUCUGCCAAAUUUCAUCCAUCUUGAGUCUCUGCAUAAUCCACAGUUAGGGACCCCUCCCUUACCUGCUUUCCCACUGCAUGGCUCUCUGCUCUGAGACAAUCAUUUCACAAUCUAUUGUGGAGUCUAGGAUGGCACCCUGGAGCCUGUGUUUUUAACAAUCCCCCAACUUCUCCAGGUGAGUUCAGUGCUUUAAGCCAUGGGAAGCCAUAAAAGGUGGUGACAUGAUUAAGUUCAUAUCUUCAAAGGUCACCCUGACAACAGCCUGAUGACUCAACUGGAUGGGGCUGUUCUGGAGGCCCGUGGAACGUGCUGGGGAAGAAAUGGUGAGGGUCUAAACUAGGAGAGUGGCUGUGAAGAGGGGGUGAGGUGGGAGGAAGGGAAUGAUUCACCAGAGAGUAUUUAGGAGGUAGACUUGAGGUAAUGUGGUAAUUGGUUGAAUAUGCAGAGCAAGGGAAAAGAAGGAAUUAAAGUUUUAGCUUGGGAGGUUGAAAACUCGGUGGCUUCAAACAAGGAACAUUUAUUAUCUCACAGUUUCUGUGGAUCAAGAUUUCAAGAGCAUCUUAGCUGGGUUGUUCUGUCUCAGUAUUUCACAUGAGACUGGUGAGCAUGUCAGCUGGGGCUUGGUUAGGGGCUGAGGGAUCCAUUUCUACAAUGUCUCACUCAUAUGGCCGUCGGCCAGAGGCCUCAGUUCCUCACCAUAUUGGCCUCUCCAUAGUGCUGCUUGGAUGUCUUUGAGAUGUGGUAGUGAAUGAUCCAAGAGAGUGGAAGGAAGAAGUCAUGAUGCAUUUGCUGACUUAGCCUCAGGUGUCACAUUCCAUCACUUCCACAGUAUCCUAUUCUUACACUGGUCAGCUCUAUUCCAUGUGAGAGGGGACUACAUGAAAACACCAGGUAGUAGGGAUCAUUGGUGGUCAUCUUGGAGGCUGGCUACCACAGUGGAUAAAAAAACCAUCGAAGCAUUAGGAGAAAACAGGUAAAUUCCUCUAUAGUCUUUGACUCAAAAUCUAGAAGCAUAAGGGAAAAGAUUGAUCAAUUUGACACACUGUGCAUAUUUAUAACUUUAUUAUGACAGAAGACACCAUAAGAAAGUCCAAGAUAUAAUAAACUGAGAAAAUAUCUCUAAUGCCUAUCACAAAGGACUGAGAAGAAAAAACCUCCAAUUGUGUAGAAAAUGGGCAAGAGAUAUGGAAAGACAGUUGGUUGUGAUUUAUGUAAGGUCACACGUGCAGCAAGUGUUGUUUGGAAUCUGUCUCCAGACCUGUUGGCGUGUCCUCCAAGUGUCCUGCUCCGCCCUGUUCUGCCAGGGGCACAGUGCCAGCUACUCCAGGCCUGACAUGGAAAAAGAAAGGAAGAGAAUGCGGGGGCUAGCCAUGGAGAGAUGACUUCAGCUUGGAGAAUCCACUGUAGCAGGAGAGUUUGUUCAGCCUGCCUAGAAACGAAGGCACGUCACUGCAGUUAAAUGGAAUUCACCUAUGAAUGACCAGCAACAUCCAGUGCACCAAGAAUCAUCACAUAAAAACGAUUUCUCAAAAGGUUUUUUGAAAAGGGUUUAAAAAAGGUGCACAAUAUGUUUUCUCAAAAAUGCAUAGAUUCCACUUAGGUGACAUUCUGGAAAAGGCAACACCGUAGGGACAGAAAUCAGAUCAGUGGUUGCCAGAUCCUGGGGUGAGAGGAAAGGAUCGCCUACAGAGGACAUGGGGGAACUCUUGGGUGGUGAUGAAAACAUUCUAGAUUGCAGCGGUGGAUACAUGGUUGUACAUAUCUGUCAAAACUCAAAACUGCACACCUAAGAAGGGUGAAUGUUACUGUAUUUAAAUUAUACCUCAAUAAGUCUGACUUUAAAAAUGUACAGAUUCCAACUUCUAGAUCAACCUGAAUUUCCCUCUGUAACCUUGACCUUUUUAUUACAUACCUUCUUUCGUUGACAAGUUUA
Aethalodelphis obliquidens (Pacific white-sided dolphin) is the source of this 2751-nucleotide long non-coding RNA. RefSeq lists it as uncharacterized. The record is from RefSeq and is a predicted model, not a curated record. NCBI's taxonomy places the organism in Eukaryota, Metazoa, Chordata, Mammalia, Artiodactyla, Delphinidae. The transcript has 2 exons.